This 2128-nucleotide long non-coding RNA is filed under the name Setaria italica (foxtail millet). RNAcentral's name for it is "long non-coding RNA (SITA_LNC005152)". The record is from RNAcentral. Lineage: Eukaryota; Viridiplantae; Streptophyta; Magnoliopsida; Poales; Poaceae.
UUUUGACUUGUAUGUACCUUGUACUCGUACCUCGUUGUUGCCGGCUGCUGGUGUGAAAGCACUGUAAAUUUUCACGACAUGUUUUUCCAACAGCUCAUGAGACGUUGGAAUUUUUAUAUGUUCUCCGAUCCAAGGUGUCCAAGACUUCCUUGAUCUGGACAGACAACUAAUAUCUUGCAAUAAAACGAAAAAUUAACCCAGAAAAGAUGUCAUGCAAUGGUCACCAUCCUUAUGUCACCCUAAAUGAGUAAAUCAGUGGCAUACGAAACUCAUCGGUCCAAUCAAUCACAAAAAGGUAAAUUAUGAACACGAAAUGUAUAUUUAUGUUGUGUUCUAAAAAAAAUGAAAAAAAGCAUGAUGCCUAUCUUCAAUACACGAGAGUACAUUACGAAGAAAUGUGUCUCUAAUUUACGUGAAAAAAAUAUUCCACGUCUAAUUCUCUCUUUUUUUAUUCUGUUUUUGUAGGAGUUGGGGAGGAAUUGGCGGUAUCUACUACUAAAUUAUCGCUGAUAAAACUGAUACCUAUUUGAUGCCAUCUAGUUAAAAGAAUUUUAUCCCUUUCAACGAUAUUUCUAGUGGCAUUAUUCAUAUGCCACUGGAAAUGGCAUUGUAGAAAGAAUCCAGGAUGUUGCGCCACUUUGGGUGCGCCCCUUACCGUUUUUCUCUAGGCCUGCUGUGGUAUGUAAGGUUUGGAGCAUGUUCGGGCUUUUCUUCUAAUCAAUACAACAGGUAGCUCUCAUGUCAUUUUUUUUAAAAAAAAUGGUAUUGUAGAGAUUAUGUAAUUCAAUAGCACUGGAAGGAUAUUGUUUUUUGGCAAGCUGGAAUUGGAGUUAUCCAAAGAGUAAAUUGCACCCACCAUACAAAACAUGUAUAGUUGUAUUAUUUUGGUCCAACAAGUUGUAAAAUGCGCAAACGUAUGUAGAAACUUGUCAACUACAUACUUGUCAAAUGUGCGCUACUGAACGUAUUUUGCCACAGUGGAAGCCAUAUGUAAUGUAAUUUAGGCCACAAAUAUCAAUUUUGAAGUGCGGAAGGUUUAAAAAUACAAAAUUAGCAUUCCUAAGUGCAGGAAGCAAGAUGUCACCUGUAUGCAAAAUUAAUGUGCUUGAUACUCUUUUUUAAAUUAAUCUGGUAAACUUGUCCAAGCAGCAACAAAUUUAAUGUAGUAUUUUAAAAAAUUUAUUGCCAUAUUUUAUUUUUGACACGACAAGCAUUACAUAUAUAAUGGGAAAGGGCAUAAUACACGUAGCCGUAGAAAAAUACGCUCGAUGGAUACAUAUGACUGCAUUUUCAUGCAUCCCUUAGCAUCAUUUGCAACUUGCAACCAUACAAGUUGUUAUAUGGUGGGUCCAAUUUACUCUUAUCCAAAUGGCACUUAAGAAAUUUUACUCUAACACUCACUCAUUGUAUUUCUUUUGCUCUUUCUCUUUUCCCUUUUUACCGAAAAGAGCAUUUUGGAGCUAUGCCUAGCGACAUGUACUUUACUAUUCAAUUCUUUAUAUAUAUAUAUAAUUAUAUAAUAUAUAUAUAAUAUUAUAAAGCAAGUAAAGCUUCUGCCUAAUCUUCUGGUACGUCGUAAUCUCCUUGGACCCACUUGACAUAGCCAAAUCCUCUCCUUGGAGACAGAAACUAUGGGACUUCGAGGCGGACUCAGCUACGAUCGCCGCAUCUACCUCUGAUCCUACAGUACAAAUGCCAAUAAAAAGAUUCAAGCAAUCUCGAGAAGGAUCGCACACCUCCGGAUUUGAGGGAAGGAAGAGCAGGGCAAAGCCGCCUUCGGAUUGCAAGGAGGGAGAGGAAGGGAGGAGCCGCCACCUGCUACGAGCAGCAACGUGGACGACGAAGGAUACCGAAGUCGAGGAUGAGCAGCAAUUGUAGGAUGCCUGCUUCUGCUCGUGUGCGUUGACCUCCUGCCCACGGGGACUCUGUCCUCGAUCCGUUUGCAACGAAUCUAGAGGAGCACGGCGGCAGGAGCAAUCGCCAGUGGUGGCGCGGCGCUCUCCGCUCGGGGCCUCUCGGUCUCUCUCCCAUAUACGAUUUGGUUCGGAUAAGGUGGGUGGUGACGGGAGGAUAAAAAUUUACUGUGAGCUCCAAGUGAGAAAGAAUAUUUUUUUUACCUGUACACGAA